UACAGAGGUCCCAAGCGUUGUUCGGAUUCACUGGGCGUAAAGGGUGCGUAGGUGGUUGGGUAAGUCUGAUGUGAAAUCUCCGGGCUCAACCCGGAAAUGGCAUUGGAUACUAUUCGGCUAGAGGUUUGGAGGGGGGACUGGAAUUCUCGGUGUAGCAGUGAAAUGCGUAGAGAUCGUAAGGAAGACCAGUGGCGAAGGCGGGUCUCUGGACAGUUCCUGACACUGAGGCACGAAGGCCAGGGGAGCAAACGGG
RNAcentral lists this ribosomal RNA (253 nucleotides) under uncultured bacterium. RNAcentral's name for it is "partial 16S ribosomal RNA". It matches the Rfam family "Bacterial small subunit ribosomal RNA", at positions 524 to 776 of the family's 1533-position model. The record is from RNAcentral.